This is a long non-coding RNA of Lolium rigidum, 656 nucleotides long. RefSeq lists it as uncharacterized. The record is from RefSeq and is a predicted model, not a curated record. The transcript is spliced from 2 exons. Lineage: Eukaryota; Viridiplantae; Streptophyta; Magnoliopsida; Poales; Poaceae.
UCAGAUGACUUUCUCUCUACGGGACCACGGCUUCCUUAUCCCCAUCCGCCCGAACAGCUAAUUCGCUCCUCUAUCGUCCACUCCGUCCUUAUCCCCAUCCCGACGACCUGCUCGAACGGCGAAAAGAAGAUGAACUAGGCCCCCAUCGAGAGGACCCCGAUGCUGGCGGAGGAGGAACGGGAGGCGCUGGUGGGAAGCACUCUCGGCGUCUCCCGCCGAUGGGGAGCACGGUGCCAUCAUGUCCGGCUCAUGGCGGUCGCGCUCACCGUGGUGGUAGCGGCGGCGUUCCUGAAGUGCAGGCUGUAGUGGAGAUAAGCGAUGUGGAGCUGAUCCCCGUAGACGUCGGCGCCGCGAGCUGGAUAGCGUGGCGUUCGGCACGGAUGGGAACGGGCCGUACGCCAACGUGUUGGACGGGAGGGCCAUCAGGUGGCUCCGGGAGGAGCGCCGCUGGGUCGACCACUCCUCCGCGGCCGCGCCACAGCUGUUUGUGGAGACGUCCGCAAUAGUAAUUUUCUCCAAAUUCUUGAUGUAACUUUUUUGCACCCAUAUGUAUUUUUUACUAUUUUCUUACAUCUAGAGCGAUAGAAGUUUAAUGUGUACCCAAAAUUCCUGAUGUAACAUUUUUCCAACUAUAUGUAUUUUUUACUUUUUUCUUA